RNAcentral lists this long non-coding RNA (831 nucleotides) under Sinocyclocheilus rhinocerous. Its description in RNAcentral is "lncRNA (ENSSRHG00000015968.1)". Lineage: Eukaryota; Metazoa; Chordata; Actinopteri; Cypriniformes; Cyprinidae. The record is from RNAcentral.
GUACUUUAACAAAAAUAAUGAACUGCUAUAUCAUAUCAACAUUUGCCAUACAUAUUUAUAAAAAUAGCAAUAUUUAUUUUAGCAUGAGAUAUUUAUGCAUGUCUGUUUUGCUUGUAUGUCAUAUGUUUGUUGCACUCGCAGCCACUAGAUGGCGCUCUGACACUAGUUAAAUGCCAGGUGUAGUUAAUGAGGCAUUAGAUACAGGCGCAAUCGGAGAAAAGGUCCUUCAGGAAUCGGAUAAAGUGAGGAAGAGGAGGAUGAAGAGGAUCGCAGAACGAUCAUCUGCUUCUUUGGACACAUUGGUUGAUUAUCCCUGAUUCUCAGAGGUAUGUCGGGGUGAGCUGGUCAAGUGGACUGUUAUCUCGCAUGGCCCUGUACAAACCCGUAUGACCGUCUGCCUGCACUCUGACCCGGGGGAGCAUGAGGAUAAACAGAUGCGUGAGCCUUCAUCACUCUCCCUCCACCACCACCAUCAUCAUCAUCAUCAUUUACCUUGAAGGGGGUGAGGAGGAGGUGCGCCAGAACACAUCAGACGCUCCUCUGCGGGUGGAAAGGGAGAGAAGAGGUGACUUGCCGAUUUUCUCAGAUCAGCAGCGCUGAUGACUUCUCUCAGGGGGAGCUGACCCAAUUCGCCUGGGUGUUUAUCACCGGCACAACAAGGUCACGGCUGACAAAGCAGCGCUAGUGUGGUCUCUUUAUGCUGUGGGGUGGGAUGGGAAGGCCCAGGGCGGUUGAGGAGCUGUUUAACUGCUCUCUGCGUUCAACUGUUAUUACACAGAUUUUAGAAAAGAACAAGAUGAUUUUUUAAAUAAAAAAAUCUGUUUAAAUCUG